This 3145-nucleotide long non-coding RNA is filed under the name Salvia miltiorrhiza (redroot sage). Its description in RNAcentral is "long non-coding RNA (SMIL_LNC000472)". Lineage: Eukaryota; Viridiplantae; Streptophyta; Magnoliopsida; Lamiales; Lamiaceae. The record is from RNAcentral.
AUGAUUCUAUGAAAAAGAAUUCUUUGAGAUCGUCUCAAUUGUCCAUUUCUUCAAUCUGGUAGUCUCUCAACAUCUCUUGACAUAAAUUCCAAUUUUUAUAUGAAGUAUGGGAGCUUUCAUUGAGAUAUAAUAAUAGGUUAUCAGAAUACUUAUAUGUAUGAUUAGCUCUUGAUAUUAUCUUAAGUUUGUUUCUACUCUUAUAUCAUUAUCAUUUUUACUAAAAUACAUGUCUUGUUUCAGAAACUUGACAUUCUUGAUUUUGUGAAGAGCUUAAAGAAGUUUGACAAAGUAAGUAUACUAAUUAAUAUGAAGUUCUGUAAGUAUUUAUAUAUUCUCAUAUUUCUGAAUUUUGAUACUAUUAUACAGUUAAGUUUUCAUCUAAAGAGCUAAUAAUUGAAAAAACCUCAAAUCAUUAGAAUUUAACACAAAAAACUGACUUCAUGGAGUACAUAAUAGAACUUACGAAGUUUGUCCCAAUCUCCAAAUAAGUUAUAGUCCAAGACAAAAAAUAAAUCACUAAAUCUUGCAACAUCUAUUCCUUCUCCUGCUUGAUACAAACUUUGGCUAUUUUUGUUGGCUUAGUGCAAGAAAAUUGGUCUAUUAGACUUCUUUUAAUGGAUCCAUCAUCAAUCCACUCAACCUCAUCUUCAAGCUUUGAUUCCGUAGCAACAGGAGUCUCUUCUCCAACUCUAUCCAUAACCUCAUUCGAACUCUCCAAUAUAGGAAAUGAAUCAGAUUGUUGGCUGUCCGAGCAGUUGGUAGAGUGCGUAGCAAUAAUUUUAGGAUCCGUUGCUAGAGUUGAGACACUAUAUGCCUUAUUAAAUGCCCAACCUUCCCCAAAAGGAACCUUAAUCUUGAACAUAAAUUUUUGUUGAAGUAGGGCAUGUUGAAUCUCUUUUGGAACAGCAAACUCCUUUAAGAUAAAAAAGAAAAUGCACACAUUAAUACACCUUAACAUGUAUUUACGUAAAAUAUUACUUGUAUUGGUUUUUGAAGUAAAAAGAAAAUAAAAAAAUGUACCUCUAUUCCUUCAACAUUAACUUCUGCGGCUGAUUUUCCUAUUACUUGCUUACUCUCCCUAUCCCAUAGUACAAAAGGUGAACUGCUAGAGUCGUCUGCAACAUUUAUUAUCAACUUAUACUUCAUUUCUCCCGACUCGCUAAAGUUGCUGCAAUACUUGCAAUAGAAUUGCUUCUCUAAUUUCUCAAGUUUCCUAAAGCACUUUUUGCAAGAUAUAUAAAACCAACCCCUUUCUUCGUCAAUGUUAACUACAGUACCACAUAUCCAAAAGCUUCCACCCUGUUAAUAUAACACAAAGUAUUUAACACAUAUAAAAUAUUCAGUUUAGAGAUAUUGUAUGUCUUUAAUUGUACCUCUGAAUUCUCACAAAGGUCUUUUAUGCUUGUCACGGUGACUCCGGCUGCAAGCUCAUCAAUAACAGUUGAACUUAUUGCUUGUGAAGUACUUGAGAUAACCGUAGUGCUUAAGCCGGAGUGAAUAAGCCUUGAAAUCAAACAUGGUCAACAAUCAGAAAAAUGUAUAUAUAUACACACACACAUUAAAAGAUGAAUAUGUCUUCAAACAAUAAAUGGUUUGACAUCAAACAAUUAGUUAAAUAAAACAUACCUCUCCUUGAACUUAUGUAUGUCACGUAUAUCUUCGUUCAACAAAAUUUUAGUAACUUGGUACCCAUUUUGCACUUUUACAACACAUGUGAGUUUAAAUAAUAAUAAUAAUAAUGAAGUUGCAAUAUAGCCUAAUAGAUAUUAGAAGCACAAAAGGUUAAAUUCGAUUAAGACUACUUUAUUUAUCUCUAAAAACAUGUUCUCAAAAUUAAUAGAAGAAAUCAUAUUAUUAUAUUCCUAAUCACACUUUGUUUUUAGAUGUGUUCAUCUCUAAACACAUGUUCUGAAAAUUGAUUAAAGAAAUUAUAUUUGAAACAUAAAUUGAAGUAUGAUUGUCACUACAUAAGUUGAAAAUAAUUAAAUAAGUAAAGCUAUUGACUCAAACAAAAUAAAGUUAAGUUCAAAUUUUUAAGUGCCAACAUUGUACUUACCUUGAAACAUACUUAGCCUGCAAAACUGUAACACAAUAAUGUUGACAUCCAUUUGACGUUCUUCAUAUUGUUUCAUGAAAAUAUCAACAUAAUUCUCCCACAAAGUGCAAGACAUUCUCUUUCCCCUUUGAAACAGUAUUAUAUAAUAUAGUAAGAACAACAAUAAUUUAGUUUUAAUAAUAAAGAAGUAGCGACAAAAAUGUACAUAAAUACUCACUCGGUAUCUUCUAGAAUAAGAUCCAAUAUUUUUUUUUCUUUACCAUCUCGAGUUGUCAGUUUUGUUGGAUUAGGCCGGGAGGCAAUUCUGCCUAUAACAUCUGCACAUGUCACGUUGAUGGGACUAAGAUUUUGUAGUGUAUGUAAAUAUAUGAAAAAAAUAUAAAAAUAUUUUAUCAUUACCAAUUGGAAGAGCAUCUGCAAUGUUUUCAGUGGCUUGAAUAUCAUCAAAUGACUUGAAUGCAUAAAUGAUAUUAGGAAAAGUUGGAUUAGCUUCAACUCUCACUUCCGUGUUUCCAUAAAAAGUUGCUUUAUAUUUAUUCGAAGUAACUCUAAACUUUGAUUGAUUAUGUGUAACACCGAAGUUACGUAUAGCAUAAAGUCCUCCUUCUUGAAACUUAGAGAUGAACUUAGAUGCUAUAAGUUUUGGUGCUGUGAAAUGGUACCUAGUUCCCUGCAAUUUGAACAUUUUAACAUGUGUAAGCUCUCUUAAACGUUUAGGAGUGCUAAAAAAAUCUUAUUGUAACAACUAUAAUGUAAUAUAAACAUUAUCCUUCUUAAAAUACUAUAGUGACAAUGACAUUAUGAAUCUGCAACCAUUUUUUGUUAUUAGAUUUGCUUACCAAUUGGAGAAUUUGAACUCUUUGGAUCAAAAUGGAUUAGAAUACAUGAGGGUUUUGAAAAAAAAAACUGUAUUUUUUUAGAGAGCACAACUAAAGAAUUUUAAUAUACUCUUAAGUCUUAACUGCUAAUAUUUGUUUGUAUAUAUCCAACGACUAAUUAAUCAUAUGAGUUUGGUAGAGCUCAGAGCAAAGCCAUCUGGGCGCCAGAGCAGAGCCCAUCUGGGCCAGAGUAGAGAGAGCUCGAUGCCAG